CCUACGGGAGGCAGCAGUGAGGAAUAUUGGUCAAUGGGCGGGAGCCUGAACCAGCCAAGUCGCGUGAGGGAAGACGGUCCUAUGGAUUGUAAACCUCUUUAGGCGGGGAGCAAUGCCGGGCACGCGUGCCCGGAGGGAGAGUACCCGCAGAAUAAGCAUCGGCAAACUCCGUGCCAGCAGCCGCGGUAAUACGGAGGAUGCGAGCGUUAUCCGGAUUGAUUGGGGUUAAAGGGUGCGUAGGCGGAUUUUUAAGUCAGCGGUAAAAUGACCGGGCUCAACCCGGGCCGGCCGUUGAAACUGGGGAUCUUGAGUGGGCGAGAAGUAUGCGGAAUGCGUGGUGUAGCGGUGAAAUGCAUAGAUAUCACGCAGAACUCCGAUUGCGAAGGCAGCAUACCGGCGCCCGACUGACGCUGAGGCACGAAAGCGUGGGGAUCGAACAGGAUUAGAUACCCUUGUAGUC
Molecule: ribosomal RNA, 460 nt
Filed under: uncultured bacterium
Lineage: Bacteria
Description: partial 16S ribosomal RNA
Rfam family: Bacterial small subunit ribosomal RNA
Source: RNAcentral